Molecule: ribosomal RNA, 681 nt
Filed under: Trypanoxyuris minutus
Lineage: Eukaryota; Metazoa; Nematoda; Chromadorea; Rhabditida; Oxyuridae
Description: partial large subunit ribosomal RNA
Rfam family: Eukaryotic large subunit ribosomal RNA
Source: RNAcentral
AAGUUGAAUCGUUCAACUUGUUGUUCGAUAGCUUAGUCGGUUAUCCAGUUGGCUGUUUAAACGUUCGAUUAGUGCAAUUGCUGCUAGUAUGCGCUAAGAUAUUCGCUAUUUGUAUAUGCUUUAAACCAUGUUUGAAGAGGACUACAUCACUUGUUGGUAUAGAACCCUUCCGCAUUGGUCUGGUAUAUUCAUGGUGAAUAUAAAAAUCGGUGUGUGUAUAGAUCACUAUGGUUUCUUUAGCUGUGGCGUUCAUCAAUUCUUGGUGGUUUUCUACAUUUGACAGUGGCAUGCCACUUUGUCUUAUGUGUCCAAGGCUGUCGAUUGAUGUUCUUGUCACAUUUGGUGAUCUAAAUUCUUAGCGUUAAAGUCGAUCACCUAUCCGACCCGUCUUGAAACACGGACCAAGGAGUUUAGCAUAUGCGCGAGUCAUUGGGUGGUAAACCUAUAGGCGUAAUGAAAGUAAAGUAUAUAUGCAUAUUGUAUAUAUCGAUAUGGGAUUCAUACAGAUGUCUCAUUUAGCGAUUUGGCGCGUGCUGACUGGGGCAUUCAUAGUUACUGUAUGACGCACCAUAGCCCCGUUUAUGUUUAGCAUUGCUAACUAGGCGGAGGUAGAGCGUAUAUGCUAAGACCCGAAAGAUGGUGAACUAUGCUUGAACAGGAUGAAGCCAGAGGAAACUCUGG